GUCGGAGCCCUAGACUUAAGGGUCCUGCAAUUUAGGGGUUCUUUGUGAUGCCUUAAGGCAUCACUAAAGAUAUUCCAAAGUAAAUAGAAUCGAUAUAUCUGAUAAGGAAAAUAAAAGAAGUGAGGAAUGCCUUAAGGCAUCACUAAAGAUAUUCCAAAGUAAAUAGAAUCGAUAUAUCUGAUAAGGAAAAUAAAAGAAGUGAGGAAUGCCUUAAGGCAUCACUAAAGAUAUUCCAAAGUAAAUAGAAUCGAUAUAUCUGAUAAGGAAAAUAAAAGAAGUGAGGAAUGCCUUAAGGCAUCACUAAAGAUAUUCCAAAAGAAAUAGAAAGCGAUGUAAUUUACAAAUUUAGUAGGGUCUUUAAGUCUAGGGUGACGGCG
Molecule: ribosomal RNA, 377 nt
Filed under: Taylorella asinigenitalis
Lineage: Bacteria; Pseudomonadati; Pseudomonadota; Betaproteobacteria; Burkholderiales; Alcaligenaceae
Description: partial 23S rRNA
Source: RNAcentral